UUCGAAGUUGGCCGGUUUUCUUGGAUUUUCUCCGGUGAGAUUUCGUGUGUUUUUUAGCCUUAAAUUAGUACAUCGUGAUUCUUCAUGUUUAGGGUUAUAUGGCAUAUAUGCUUAAUGUGUUUUUAAAUUAUGGACUUGUUGGAUACUCUUUUUGCAUAUUAUCAUUCUUUUAUUAUCUUAUCCAUGAAUUUCAUACAAGUAUAAUUUUUUGUAAGUGUCAAUAUGCACUUAUUUACAAGAUAUACAAGAAAUUUACCUAAAUUCGCCUAGGCGCCCGUUGUUGGAAAUAUGCCUUGAAAGUCAAUCUUUGGAAGAAAUCUUUCAGGACAAUGAAUGUGUGUAUAGAUGACUCUUAUACAUCAAAAGGCAAAGAUACUAAUUAGGACUAUCUCAAUAAACGAUAUAUGUCCUAAAUAAUGAAUCCAUGGACAAUGGAUCGAUGGAAGAAGUAAUCUAAUGAUGUUAGACUACAGAGACCUUCUUCACAUAACCAUCAUGUCCAAAAAGGUUUUUGGUCAUAUAAGGAAAUUUAGUAAUGUAAGAUACUUAUCUUUAGCAUCCCGGAAUUUAAGUUGAUACACAACACACCUAUUCUAUAAAAUUAACAAAAUUUCAAAGUAUAAUUAUACUUAAGACUUUAAACAAAUUUCAAAAUAAAUAAAAAUAAAAAUAAAAAACCACCCAGCCGCCUAGCCCCCCUAGCCCACCUAGGCGGCCGCCUAGAGCCACCUGGAUUUUUCUUACCGUUUUGCACAAAAUCACCUCGGUUCCAAGGCGCCUAGCUCCUAGGUGCUGCCUAGGGCGUUUUUUAGAACACUGCAGCGCAUAUUAAAUCUUCAGAGCGUAGCUCAGAGCAUGCCAUAUGCUUUCACUGAUUUAGCGUGAGUGACAAGAUCACAAAUUCCAG
RNAcentral lists this long non-coding RNA (907 nucleotides) under Malus domestica (apple). RNAcentral's name for it is "long non-coding RNA (MDOM_LNC003931)". Lineage: Eukaryota; Viridiplantae; Streptophyta; Magnoliopsida; Rosales; Rosaceae. The record is from RNAcentral.